UACGGGGGGAGUAAGCGUUGUUCGGAUUUACUGGGCGUAAAGGGCGCGUAGGCGGCUUUAUAAGUCGGGGGUGAAAGCCUGUGGCUCAACCACAGAAUUGCCUUCGAUACUGUAGAGCUUGAGACCGGAAGAGGUAAGUGGAACUGCGAGUGUAGAGGUGAAAUUCGUAGAUAUUCGCAAGAACACCAGUGGCGAAGGCGGCUUACUGGUCCGGUUCUGACGCUGAGGCGCGAAAGCGUGGGGAGCAAACAGG
This 253-nucleotide ribosomal RNA is filed under the name uncultured bacterium. RNAcentral describes it as "partial 16S ribosomal RNA". It matches the Rfam family "Bacterial small subunit ribosomal RNA", at positions 524 to 776 of the family's 1533-position model. The record is from RNAcentral.